GCUGGGUGCAGUGGUGCACACCUGUAAUCCCAAUGGCUGGGGAAGCUGAGGCAGGAGGAUCGUGAGUUCAAAGACAGCCUCAGCAAAAGCAAGGUGCUAAGCAACUCAGUGAAACCCUAUCUCUA
RNAcentral lists this small RNA (125 nucleotides) under Marmota monax (woodchuck). The record is from RNAcentral. Lineage: Eukaryota; Metazoa; Chordata; Mammalia; Rodentia; Sciuridae.